RNAcentral lists this ribosomal RNA (505 nucleotides) under uncultured bacterium. RNAcentral's name for it is "partial 16S ribosomal RNA". It matches the Rfam family "Bacterial small subunit ribosomal RNA", at positions 28 to 507 of the family's 1533-position model. The record is from RNAcentral.
GACGAACGCUGGCGGCGUGCCUAAUACAUGCAAGUAGAACGCACAGUUUAUACCGUAGCUUGCUACACCAUAAACUGUGAGUUGCGAACGGGUGAGUAACGCGUAGGUAACCUGCCUGGUAGCGGGGGAUAACUAUUGGAAACGAUAGCUAAUACCGCAUAAUAUUGAUUAUUGCAUGAUAAUUGAUUGAAAGAUGCUAUUGCAUCACUACCAGAUGGACCUGCGUUGUAUUAGCUAGUAGGUGAGGUAACGGCUCACCUAGGCGACGAUACAUAGCCGACCUGGGAGGGUGAUCGGCCACACUGGGACUGAGACACGGCCCAGACUCCUACGGGAGGCAGCAGUAGGGAAUCUUCGGCAAUGGACGAAAGUCUGACCGAGCAACGCCGCGUGAGUGAAGAAGGGUUUCGGAUCGUAAAGCUCUGUUGUAAGAGAAGAACGGGUGUGAGAGUGGAAAGUUCACACUGUGACGGUAGCUUACCAGAAAGGGACGGCUAACUACGUG